AGUGAACGCUGGCGGUAGGCCUAACACAUGCAAGUCGAACGGCAGCACAGUAAGAGCUUGCUCUUACGGGUGGCGAGUGGCGGACGGGUGAGGAAUACAUCGGAAUCUACUUUUUCGUGGGGGAUAACGUAGGGAAACUUACGCUAAUACCGCAUACGACCUACGGGUGAAAGCAGGGGAUCUUCGGACCUUGCGCGAUUGAAUGAGCCGAUGUCGGAUUAGCUAGUUGGCGGGGUAAAGGCCCACCAAGGCGACGAUCCGUAGCUGGUCUGAGAGGAUGUUCAGCCACACUGGAACUGAGACACGGUCCAGACUCCUACGGGAGGCAGCAGUGGGGAAUAUUGGACAAUGGGCGCAAGCCUGAUCCAGCCAUACCGCGUGGGUGAAGAAGGCCUUCGGGUUGUAAAGCCCUUUUGUUGGGAAAGAAAAGCAGCAGGUUAAUACCCCGCUGUCCUGACGGUACCCAAAGGAUAAGCACCGGCUAACUUCGUG
Molecule: ribosomal RNA, 492 nt
Filed under: uncultured bacterium
Lineage: Bacteria
Description: partial 16S ribosomal RNA
Rfam family: Bacterial small subunit ribosomal RNA
Source: RNAcentral